ACGGUUUCAGUUACACGUGGAUAACCUGCCCUCAGGUCUGGCAUAACCCCGGGAAACUGGGGAUAAUUCCGGAUAACGCAUAUAUGCUGGAAUGCUUUAUGCGUCAAAGGUCCUCCGCCUGAGGAUGGGUCUGCGGCCUAUCAGGUAGUAGCGGGUGUAAUGUACCUGCUAGCCGACGACGGGUACGGGUUGUGAGAGCAAGAGCCCGGAGAUGGAUUCUGAGACAUGAAUCCAGGCCCUACGGGGCGCAGCAGGCGCGAAAACUUUACAAUGCGGGAAACCGUGAUAAGGGGACACCGAGUGCCAGCAACAUUUGCUGGCUGUCCAGGUGUGUAAACUACACCUGUUAGCAAGGGCCGGGCAAGACCGGUGCCAGCCGCCGCGGUAACACCGGCGGCCCGAGUGGUGAUCGUUAUUAUUGGGUCUAAAGGGUCCGUAGCCGGUUUAGUCAGUCCUCCGGGAAAUCUGUCAGCUCAACUGAUAGGCUAUCGGGGGAUACUGCUAGACUUGGAACCGGGAGAGGUAAGAGGUACUACAGGGGUAGGAGUGAGAUCUUGUAAUCCCUGUGGGACCACCUGUGGCGAAGGCGUCUUACCAGAACGGGUUCGACGGUGAGGGACGAAAGCUGGGGGCACGAACCGGAUUAGAUACCCGGGUAGUCCCAGCCGUAAACGAUGCUCGCUAGGUGUCAUGCAUGGUGCGACCGUGUAUGGUGCCGUAGGGAAGCCGUGAAGCGAGCCACCUGGGAAGUACGGCCGCAAGGCUGAAACUUAAAGGAAUUGGCGGGGGAGCAC
RNAcentral lists this ribosomal RNA (794 nucleotides) under uncultured archaeon. RNAcentral's name for it is "bacterial SSU rRNA". It matches the Rfam family "Archaeal small subunit ribosomal RNA", at positions 83 to 879 of the family's 1478-position model. The record is from RNAcentral.